This 460-nucleotide ribosomal RNA is filed under the name uncultured Paludibacter sp. RNAcentral describes it as "bacterial SSU rRNA". It matches the Rfam family "Bacterial small subunit ribosomal RNA", at positions 338 to 795 of the family's 1533-position model. Lineage: Bacteria; Pseudomonadati; Bacteroidota; Bacteroidia; Bacteroidales; Paludibacteraceae. The record is from RNAcentral.
CCUACGGGGGGCUGCAGUGAGGAAUAUUGGUCAAUGGACGAGAGUCUGAACCAGCCAAGUCGCGUGAAGGAAGACGGUUCUAUGAAUUGUAAACUUCUUUUGUGCAGGAAUAAAGUGGGUUACGUGUAACCUUUUGUAUGUACUGUACGAAUAAGGAUCGGCUAACUCCGUGCCAGCAGCCGCGGUAAUACGGAGGAUCCGAGCGUUAUCCGGAUUUAUUGGGUUUAAAGGGUGCGUAGGUGGAUUGAUAAGUCAGCGGUGAAAGUUUGCAGCUUAACUGUAAAAUUGCCGUUGAAACUGUCGGUCUUGAGUGCAAAUGAGGUAGGCGGAAUGUGUUGUGUAGCGGUGAAAUGCUUAGAUAUAACACAGAACUCCGAUUGCGAAGGCAGCUUACUGGGAUGCAACUGACACUGAUGCACGAAAGCGUGGGUAUCAAACAGGAUUAGAUACCCCAGUAGUC